GAUGAACGCUGGCGGCGUGCCUAAUACAUGCAAGUCGAGCGAACAGAUAAGGAGCUUGCUCCUUUGACGUUAGCGGCGGACGGGUGAGUAACACGUGGAUAACCUACCUAUAAGACUGGGAUAACUUCGGGAAACCGGAGCUAAUACCGGAUAAGAUUUUGAACCGCAUGGUUCAAUAGUGAAAGACGGCCUUGCUGUCACUUAUAGAUGGAUCCGCGCCGUAUUAGCUAGUUGGUAAGGUAACGGCUUACCAAGGCAACGAUACGUAGCCGACCUGAGAGGGUGAUCGGCCACACUGGAACUGAGACACGGUCCAGACUCCUACGGGAGGCAGCAGUAGGGAAUCUUCCGCAAUGGGCGAAAGCCUGACGGAGCAACGCCGCGUGAGUGAUGAAGGUCUUCGGAUCGUAAAACUCUGUUAUCAGGGAAGAACAAAUGUGUAAGUAACUGUGCACAUCUUGACGGUACCUGAUCAGAAAGCCACGGCUAACUACGUGC
Molecule: ribosomal RNA, 498 nt
Filed under: uncultured bacterium
Lineage: Bacteria
Description: bacterial SSU rRNA
Rfam family: Bacterial small subunit ribosomal RNA
Source: RNAcentral